AUCGUCGAUCUGUCACAAAGUGUGUAAAUAUUGCGUGUCAGGAGUGAAACAUUCGUGAUACAGCUUUAUCAAACCAAAGAAGUGCCUGAGAAGAUCCAGGAAGAACGAGUAUAAUCUUCCUUGCUUGCCAAAGAAAUGCAAAUGUAAUAUAUAAAUUGACACGUCGUCGAGAAGUACAUAUUUCCACAAACGAACGUUCAAAUGCGAUACUCAGAGGUGUACCACGCACCUGCGACGCCACGAGUCGAAUGCGAGUUGGACUGAACUAGGUCAAGCUCUGGAAGAGCCGAGAAAAGUAUCGUUGGCACACGUCGAAGAAUCCUCCAGAUGAAAUUUCGCAAAUUUUCCAACACGUCCAGCCCCAAAAUGGAAUUGCUCUCAAGGCGGUCGUCCAGCGACAGGAUAUCGACCCUCAAACGGUCGAGGUCCUUCCGAGCGUCGAUGAAACUCAUGUCAAAGCUGCGAACUCACGCGAAUCUGCGUUUAAACGGCGGCUUCGACUUGUCUCCGGUAUCGCUGCAAACUCAGCACUCCAAGAAACAACGAAACAAGCUGUCCCUGGCAGAGGAAGCCUCUGCGCCAGCCAGAAACACCAAAGAUCCUUGCGUGAAGUGUCCCUCGAGGAACGAUAACGAGGUACUCGAGAGCCUCAACUCGAAAGAUACGGUUUCGUCGAGCGAGUUAGAGUCUCGCAAAAUCAGCAAGGACCUAAAGAGCAAGCUGUGUCUGACCGACAGGAUAAUGGGGAAGAAUCGUAAGGACCAAGAGAAGUCGUCGAAGAGGUACAACGAUACCAUGUCACCGAGGGUGACGCAUAUGUUCCGGUGGAAAAGCAACGAGGAGACCUCGUCGAUAUCCAGCGGGGAGAGGAAAAACGUUUUCCGUUCUAUCGAUAGCCACGUGUCCUAUGAGAAUCCUACUUUCCGCCUGGACAGCUCUUUAGACUCGUCGGUCUCCAGUUUCCUGUUCGAAUCCGAGCAUUCGGAUCACGUUUCGAACGAUGUCGAAUGUAAGGACGUGUCCUCCACGGAACCCUGCGUGGACACGGGGUUGACCGUGGUCCUGGACUCCGUGAGGUCGAGCGAGGACGAAACGAUGGCGAAACUCGCCGACGAAGGCAGCCAUCGAGCCAUGUUCGACAAGGACAGGUACCUCGAGUGCAAUAGGAGCUAUCGGCCUGUGUUCACGAGUUCCAAAGCUAGGAGCCUGUCGGUGAACGACGUGGUCCUGCAGGAGGAGGAAGAGGAAGCUGCGAGCUGUUUGAACACUGAGGACGGGGCGAGUCUCGAUUGGCAGAGCAGUCACGCGGAUGAUCUGGCCACGCUGAAGGGACGCAAGUCGUCCGAGAAAAUUAGAAAAACUUCCGUUUGCUCGUCAAAGUCCUGCAGGAUCAGGACUGUGGAUAAUAUAACUAACUUCUGGACGAAUGCCCGCGGUGGCAGCUUCCGUAGCAAGGUCUCGGUUGGAAGGAAGAAGUCGGUGAAAGAUCCGAGAGAACACGAGUCCAUGGGGCAGGAUAGGGUUCUCGUUACGACCACUUCUGGAUCAAAGCUGUACUCUUUGCAAGGGAUGGAGUUCCUGGAGGGUUUCGGGAAGAAAAAACAGCAGCCGAAUCAGCAAACGAACAAUAUAUCGUCGGUGCACAUCAAUCCUCUAACGGCACAGUCUCUCAACAUACACCUGCAUGCUCUCUUCGCUGCAGUGGAACAUGGCCACCUGGACAAAGCCAAAACAAUUUUGGAGUCGACAGACGUGGACGUGAACAGCGUGAACAGCGACGGCCUGUCACCCCUGGAUGUUGCGGUGCUCAGCAACAAUAGGCCGCUUGCAAAAAUGCUGGUCGCGUUCGGCGCACAGGAGGGUAACCAGUUCAAAUCUCCGGAGUCCCUGGGCAGUCAUUUGGCUUCGUUGUUGUUGGAGGCGGAACACAGAGUUCAAGAACUCGGCGGGAGCACUUCCGGUAGCGGUGGGACUACCCUUCUGGAGCCUCCGAGCAGUCAUAGAUCAAGUUUUUCGUCGCAGCACAACAAUCUCACGGGAUGUGGCGGUAGCGCCGAAGAAAAGCAGCUGGCUUUGUGGGAGAGAAGAGCUAGAGCUCUUAGAAAAAUGUUGCUUGGGUUCGAUCAAGCGCGGCCGCCAGACAUGCCGUUCUUAGUCGCAGUGGAUGUUACGGGAACAAACUCGGUAACAAUGAGGUUCCAGGAACCCGAUUCCCACGAUUCCCCUAUCUGCACGAAAUUCAAGGUUCAGUGGAGCAUCAAGGAAGAUUUCUCAGUGAUUUGUGGAGAGAGAGAGGUUCUAGACAUGAAACAGAGGGAAUGCAGGAUCGACGAUCUUAUUCAGGGACAGAAGUACUAUUUUCGAGCGGCUGCUGGCAAUUUGAAGGGUUACAGCAGGUUCAGGAACUCGACCCCUGCCCACGUAACACCUAGUAGCUGGAGGGACAUCGAUGGCAGAGUGCCAAGGUUUGCUGGCCGUUUGGAGCAGUUGAAUACUUUAUUCACGGACAUAAGGCGACCAGAGUACACUCAAGAGACACCGGCCGUGCAGAGGCGUAAUCACAAGAAGAAGACAACGAUAAAGCAGCUCUUCACGGCAACUAGCAAGUUUCAGAAGAACCUGAGGCGCGGGGUCUUCCUCGCCUGUCUACUCUAUCACGAGGAUAAAGUGUUGGUAACGAACGAGGAUUUCUUACCUGUGAUCGAAGUCGACGAGACUUAUCCUAGCUGUAUUUACAACGACUUCCAUUGGCUUAUGAAAGUUGGCUGUACUUGGGACGAUGUUAAAGUUCUUCGACAAGACAUGGAGAAAAGUCAUAGCAGCUCAACAAAUCAUUUCAGGAUAAAACUUUUACAGGCUGCUGCACAAAUGCAGGCAGCACUAUGUAUACAGGACCUUGGUCAACUGUACCAUAAACCCAUUAGAGACGUUCAAGGCACCCUGGUUUUCUCUACAGUGAAUUACAUAAAAUCUCCAAAGUUGAUCUCAGUGUUGAACAGCAGAUGGCUGCCUCUCAGUAAAGUUACAAAAAAGGUUAUCACUCAUGAAGACAGUAACGUCGCGGAUAUUUUAAUAGCCAGUAUACAGGAACAGAUGACUUACCACCAAGUUAGUAGUAUUAAACUGUCGAAGGGACUUUAUCUCGGUUAUCUGAAGAUGCAGAGUAGCGUCGAUCUCAUUCAAGUCGUGGUACCAGCAAAGUCGCCUAACGUUUUACCUCAUUGUAAAAUCCGUGACAACCCACAUGUUUCUGCAGAAGAAUGGGAUUAUCUGAAAAGGAUAACUCGUAUUCACGCAUCAGAUGCAUCGGUCAAAGAUUGCGAAGAAAAAGAAAAUGUUACAAACGAAUCCCAAGGUACAGAACAGCAAAAAUUAUUCGUCGAACUCGUCGCUGCAACAUCUAGGCGAUUGUUCAAUUACAUGGAAAUCAGUUCCGAAGAUUCCUUGGUCCAUCGACUCUAUGACGCCGAAGUUAUCGAUCUUACUCACGAUGUGUCCUUUCUGAUCGCUGUGCCUCCAGCAGAAACCGCCUGCUGUGUACCUGGAACCAGAGAAAUCCUCCUUCAACGUGGCGAUCUUCUGUCCUUGCCUAUCCAAGUAUUCGAGAUGGUUCAUCUAAACACCUAUCAGAAGGAUGUAAUUAACAGAUACUCAAGAUUAAGUUGCAUUCUGGAACUUGAUACGGCGCAAGCCCAGUACAAUCAUAGAGAAGCCUUCAGUUCUCUGGAGUUAAGCGUAGCAAAGGAUAAAUUGACUAGGUUGCAAGAUCUUCAGACUCAAGUAAACACCGUGUGGAAGGGAGCUAGGUGGCUCAUAGAUGUGAUCACGUUUGCUAGAGAUCGUGGAUCUUCGCAGCAAAGCGGCUCGUCACAAACGGUUGGAAUUUCAAUGAAGCACCUGCUCGGCCUCGACAGAAACAAGAGCAACAGUAACAGCAACAGUCUGAAGAGAAGUUUGCUCCAGUUACCGCCACGUGAUCCGAAGCUGGUGAAAUCUAGUCCAGGUCGAGGUAGCUGGCCAGGUCCUAACGUGUCCAAUUCUUCCUCGAAUCUACUCACUACCGAGUUCAGUAAAAGCGAGCAACAAUUACCUAGUGGCCAGUACAUUCGCAAAGGCAGCAACACUUCCAAUGUAUCGACCAGCUCAGAACAUCCAAAAUCCUCUGUACCUCUGAGCAGCACCAGCAAUCUUAGCAACACAACCAGCGCUGGCAGCAACAAUCAUCUGGUACCAUUACAGAACACCAGGUUACCGCCUUCCAAAUCCGAGGACACUCUGAUCCUAACAAAAUACAAACACAGUCCCAGAAAUAGGUCAGCUACCAUCACGUCCGCGUCGGCCAGCACCAGUCCCUUACUCAGCAUUAAGCCUAUCAUCUACGGCGGCUCGCUUUUAAGCGUGUCGACAGCCAUGACAAAUACGACAAGUCUAUUAAGCGUCAGCAACACCAAUUCCGACAGUUUACAUUCGCUCAGUAGUGAUGAAUAUUCCACGCCUAAUUCGAGUGUCUGCAUAAAGAGCGGACAUACGAAGAGCAAACCGACCAAACCUACUGCUAGUGUUGCAGCCACGGCAACUGGUUCUUUGGAGAGUCAACUGGAGGAAGAGAAGGAUGAAGCAACUAUGAUGCCGGCUCCACUGCCUGGCAUUCUUCAGGGAACACAAGUCUAACCUGAUUGUAGUUAAAAACAGCUCACUUGGUCUUCUAGUGCAGACCGAUGUAGCAGAUAUAUGAGUUUACGCGGCCUACGAAACCGGCUUGGCUUCCGGAACCAGCCUGAAAUUGCACGUCACUCCGAAGACCACAGC
RNAcentral lists this unclassified non-coding RNA (4809 nucleotides) under Eufriesea mexicana. RNAcentral's name for it is "ankyrin repeat and fibronectin type-III domain- containing protein 1, transcript variant X4". Lineage: Eukaryota; Metazoa; Arthropoda; Insecta; Hymenoptera; Apidae. The record is from RNAcentral.